UACGAAGGGGGCUAGCGUUGCUCGGAAUGACUGGGCGUAAAGGGCGCGUAGGCGGAUUGUACAGUCAGGCGUGAAAUUCCCGGGCUCAACCUGGGGGCUGCGCUUGAGACGUGCGAUCUUGAGUGGGGAAGAGGGUCGUGGAAUUCCCAGUGUAGAGGUGAAAUUCGUAGAUAUUGGGAAGAACACCGGUGGCGAAGGCGGCGACCUGGUCCUUGACUGACGCUGAGGAGCGAAAGCGUGGGGAGCGAACAGG
This 253-nucleotide ribosomal RNA is filed under the name uncultured bacterium. Its description in RNAcentral is "partial 16S ribosomal RNA". It matches the Rfam family "Bacterial small subunit ribosomal RNA", at positions 524 to 776 of the family's 1533-position model. The record is from RNAcentral.